This 983-nucleotide long non-coding RNA is filed under the name Equus caballus (horse). RNAcentral describes it as "lncRNA (ENSECAG00000046935.1)". Lineage: Eukaryota; Metazoa; Chordata; Mammalia; Perissodactyla; Equidae. The record is from RNAcentral.
UAAUUGGAUCACAGUUGUUGAUGCUUUCAAAGCACUUCCUGUGGGAGAUUAAUCCCAAGGAUACACGACAUCCAGUAGGUUCUGAGCGCCCUGCUGACGUGAUGUGGGUGGAAUAAGAGAGAACACAUGCACGGACUUGAUUCCAUCUCCCACGCGGUCCUGAAGUCAUCAGUGGGAUGGGGGAUGGACAUCCAGGGACAAGAAGGGAGAGAAUCUGACACGUCCACCACAGGGUCUCCACAGGGUCUCAGAGCCAAGCGCCCAGACAGGCCUGGCAAGUCACAAAGGAGUGAGGAAGGCUCGACCCCACCAGCUGACAGCCAGCAGGCCCUGAGGGAGGACCACCUGCCAGACUCGUUCCAGCAGGUUCUGGAUAUGGACUCAGCCAAUCCCCCAGCCCUGUCGGGUAGGUUUAUCACAGUUUCAUCAUAGAAGGGGAAGCACCCAGGGAAGGAGAUCGCCCGGGUCCCACAGCUGGCAGGUGGCAUAUGGACAAUACAGGACAGGAGUUUGGGUGGCAGGUCCUGGGCUUCCCUGUUGGGAGACAGUGGGGAGGGGUGGAGACUGUGGCAAACUGGGAGCACAAGCCCGUCUAAAGGGGCAGCCUGGACUUUGUGCCACCAAUUGCUGCUAUGAGAGGGUGUGGGCCCAGGGUGGCCCCAUCUCCUGAGACCUCGGGAGAACCAAGCAAUUGAUUCUCAAGGGAGACCUCUAAGCUGUCCACGUGUUGACGUUGGAUUCAUAUUCCUCAAAAACAACGAGAGGGACAGACAAGACACGUCUGCUGCCUGGUUUUGGGCCAUGCAUCCACAGUGUGUGCUCUGACCGUGGAGAGAAUCGUUCAUUCUAGAAAGUCCUGAGCCGCAAGGGGUCACUUUAAGAAUGCCAGGUGGCAGGCGCCAGAUUUUGGCAUCUGACACGCUCCCAAGAGCUCCCUGGGACCAGAGCAAUCAUCUUUUGUAAGCUCUGAUGGGGAACAACUG